AUUGAACGCUGGCGGCAGGCCUAACACAUGCAAGUCGAGCGGUAGAGAGGUGCUUGCAUCUCUUGAGAGCGGCGGACGGGUGAGUAAUGCCUAGGAAUCUGCCUAGUGGUGGGGGAUAACGUUCGGAAACGGACGCUAAUACCGCAUACGUCCUACGGGAGAAAGCGGGGGGAUCUUCGGACCUCGCGCCAUUAGAUGAGCCUAGGUCGGAUUAGCUAGUUGGUGAGGUAAUGGCUCACCAAGGCGACGAUCCGUAACUGGUCUGAGAGGAUGAUCAGUCACACUGGAACUGAGACACGGUCCAGACUCCUACGGGAGGCAGCAGUGGGGAAUAUUGGACAAUGGGCGAAAGCCUGAUCCAGCCAUGCCGCGUGUGUGAAGAAGGUCUUCGGAUUGUAAAGCACUUUAAGUUGGGAGGAAGGGUAGUAACCUAAUACGUUGCUACUUUGACGUUACCGACAGAAUAAGCACGGCUAAC
This 478-nucleotide ribosomal RNA is filed under the name uncultured bacterium. RNAcentral describes it as "bacterial SSU rRNA". It matches the Rfam family "Bacterial small subunit ribosomal RNA", at positions 30 to 501 of the family's 1533-position model. The record is from RNAcentral.